RNAcentral lists this ribozyme (80 nucleotides) under Crocodylus porosus (Australian saltwater crocodile). RNAcentral's name for it is "Mammalian CPEB3 ribozyme (ENSCPRG00005000511.1)". It matches the Rfam family "Mammalian CPEB3 ribozyme". From Rfam's summary of the family: The mammalian CPEB3 ribozyme is a self cleaving RNA located in the second intron of the CPEB3 gene which belongs to a family of genes regulating messenger RNA polyadenylation. This ribozyme is highly conserved and found only in mammals. There is currently only one other known self cleaving ribozyme in mammals, the CoTC motif. The record is from Rfam by way of RNAcentral. Lineage: Eukaryota; Metazoa; Chordata; Crocodylia; Crocodylidae.
AGAGGUCACAAGUCUGAGGCCAUAGCAGAAGCACUCAUGCUGCAGCCAUGCCAGACUCCAACAAAUCUGCAAAUUCUAUU